This 84-nucleotide non-coding RNA is filed under the name Desulfotomaculum sp. RNAcentral describes it as "c-di-GMP sequence". It matches the Rfam family "c-di-GMP-I riboswitch aptamer". Rfam says of the family: GEMM was predicted in a large-scale screen for bacterial structured RNA regulatory elements. The record is from RNAcentral. Lineage: Bacteria; Bacillati; Bacillota; Clostridia; Eubacteriales; Desulfotomaculaceae.
ACUUGUAAAGGGCAAACUCAUCGAAAGAUGGGGACGCAAAACAAACAGACCUAAGGCGAAAGCUAUGGUGGCUGGGUUGCCAAG